GGCAUGCGGCGAUAGGUGUAAUGAUGUGUGGACGUUUGGACAUCUGCACGUCUUGGGAAAUUCAAAAAAAAAAUUUCACGGAUUAAGAGGGUAAUGAUGAAAGGACAUUUCAAGUCAUGCUGAGAAGAGGACACUUGGCGAGAUAUUUGACGAGAUCAAGAUCUUGCAAUCGUGCUUCAUAAAUGAACCUCGAGAGAUGGAGCAUGGUUUCACUUCUUCAAGGUUAAGGCUCGGCCAGAGAUUUCAGGCCAAAAAAAGCCUCAGAAGCGAAGGGGCAAUGUUUGGGCCCAAAAUGUUGGUUAGGCCGAGUUUUAUUCUCGACCCAGAAGGUCUUACGAAAAGGUUAUCGUGGAUUGCCUAGUUCAUGGGCUUCCUAGCCUAGGUCGGCCAAGUUUUGCUGCGAGACAAGUAAUUGAAUCCUGGUACAAUAAGGAAUCUCGGCAUAAAAAUAUUGAUAACCUGGAAGUGAAUACAGUUUGAUAAAGGAUUGGGUUCAAAGUCAUAGUAAAAAUAGGACUGGUCGAGAUAGUGUUUGAUUAGAAUAAGGAGUCCUAAUCUGAUUAGGGUUUUAAUUCGAUCUAGAGAGGACCUGAUGCUAUAAAUAGAGGAAGUUGUGCAUCAUUCAAGCUUUCUCCAAUUCAACACACAACUGCAUUGCGUAAAUUCUCUCAACAACCUUGAGAUUUUUUCCUUUUUCUUUUCGCCGAAACACCUUCAGUUUGGAUAAACAGCACUGUGAAGGCAACCGGUGAUAUCUUCAGUUGGCAUAAACAGCACUGUCGCCGGAGAAUCAACCGGUCUCACAGUAUCUUCAGUCGGCAUAGACAGCACUACGUCGAGGGCGACUGGUUAUCUAUCCAAGUCUCGGUCGAGAAGGAUUUCUGAAUCCUUAUUGGUCGAGGUCAUCUCAUCAGCCUUCUCGGCGAAGUAAGGUGUUACAGUUUAUUGGGCUUGGCACAUUGCACGUCAAGUUAUUUUAUGAUUGGAUACUCUCAAGUGAGAUUUAGAGUUCGGCACUUCGACAGCCGAACCACGCUUAUUGUUAAGACUUAUAUCCGCUUUGAGUAUUUGUGCUUUUACACUUUGGUGUCGAUUCGGCGUGAAUUUACUCUAACGAAUACCAUCACUGUGACCGAAUCCAAUGACGACGAUUUGUGAACUUCAUAAGAAUAGUAGCCUUGUCUUUAGGUUCGAGAACCCAAGAGGCCAAGACGUGUUCCUUCCUCGGUCGCAAUCGCAAGACACAGAAGUCAGCUGCGCACCCAACGCAACAUCAACACAUUUUACUUCUCGGCCGAACUCGGUCGACGAGUUGGCACGCCGCACAUUCAACCAAAAGACGUAGUUAGCUCAUAGAUUACUCGACCUGCGCGCCACGUAGGCUUGGUAGUUUUUAGGGUCAACAGCUAUAAUUGACAAAUCUUAGUGUUAAUAAGGAAAAUCAAUAGGACAUUUAUGUGCUACUUUGUGGUGUGCUUUUAAUUCUAGCAAGUAUUCACUCGCGACAUGGCUCGCUGAGAGUUCAUCCCACUUUACAGAAGAGUAGGCAACAUAAGGAACAUAAGAAAACUCAAGGAUACUCAAGCUUAUGUUCAACUGGCACUCAACGCCUAGCACAGUUACAAGCAGAUUGCCGAGAAAAGCAGCACAUACAUGCAAGCCACCACCAAAAGUAGCUGAGGUGUUAUCGCCCAAAUGGAGGUGGGUCUAGGAAGAAGUUCAAGUUCAAGUUUAAUUGGCUUUUGAUGCCAAACGCAAUCACAAGUAGCCCACCACCAUCCAAAGAUGAAUAAUGUGUACCGUAGCCGUAACAUAAACGCGUAAGACACUGGAAGACCAGCGUAAACUCGUAGCUCACUGUUAAAUGUAGUCGAGGAGUCAUCACCCCAA
This 1890-nucleotide long non-coding RNA is filed under the name Malus domestica (apple). RNAcentral's name for it is "long non-coding RNA (MDOM_LNC015324)". The record is from RNAcentral. Lineage: Eukaryota; Viridiplantae; Streptophyta; Magnoliopsida; Rosales; Rosaceae.